RNAcentral lists this long non-coding RNA (513 nucleotides) under Micromonas commoda. RNAcentral's name for it is "long non-coding RNA (MCOM_LNC000077)". The record is from RNAcentral. Lineage: Eukaryota; Viridiplantae; Chlorophyta; Mamiellophyceae; Mamiellales; Mamiellaceae.
CAGGCCGCUGCAAAGAAGAAUAUUGCUUUAUCGCACCAAGGGUGAAAGAAGUAUAUCUUGUUCAUAUACUGAAAAGAGCACCGACAUGGGGAACGAGGUCGAUGAUUGUUUUCGCUGGAACAGUUCGAAAAUGUCAGAUGCUGAAGGAAAUUCUUUCAGUCUUGGGAAUAAACUGUGUUGCCUUACACGCUGCCAAGAAACAAGCACGCAGACAUGCCAGCCUCUCGCGAUUCAAAUCUGGCGAAAUUCAAAUAAUGAUUGCUACUGACAUUGCAUCACGCGGCCUUGAUAUUCCAACGGUUGACAUGGUUGUAAACUAUGAUGUGCCCUUAAUCCCCCGGGAUUAUAUUCAUCGGAUCGGGCGCACUGCACGGGCUGGGCGGGUUGGCAGAGCCAUCACACUUGUGACACAGCAUGACAUUUCCUUGGUGCAUCAAAUCGAACAACUCACCUGUAGAAAGCUAGUUGAGCUUUCUAAACUUUCUGAGGAAGCUAUUCUGAAAGAUAUGGCGC